GUUUAUUGGAGGUCACAGUCCAAGGCACAGAUAAACACAUCUCUGGAUAGUGUUGAAUUAUCUGAAGCUUGGAAAAUCCACCUCACUAACAGUAGACGCCUGUGACGGAACAUCUAAUCAGUGGAAAAUAAAACAUCUGCAAAGAAGCCAAACCCUUUCAAAAAAUUUUCAUCUGAAUGACAUCUGCAAUCCGUCGAGAGGUCAAGACAAGACAGCCGGUCUGUGAUGUGGGGACAUCCAUUCCUGUCGAGUCUUUUGGGAAGAUGUGCAGCCGGCAGAUGUUGUGGAGGGAGAACAGUAUUCUGGCUAUGUGGAGCAUCUGGGAGUAGCGUAGCAGGGAUUUCUGGCCGUCCACGUGCCUCAACAUGUAUCUACCCUCAUUCCCCAUGCCUCACUGGGAGAAAGGCUUGGGGGUGGUGAUAAAGCUCAUUGUACAUUGGGGUAUAAAUCCAACAAGCUCUUCGUCUGACACAGCAUGACAACCAUGCAUGCUUAAUGACCUCCUCCCCCCUAGGCAUCUGUGACAAUCUGUGCAUUCAACUGUCUCUGAAACGCACCCAGCGCAAGAUUUGGCCGCCAAUUUGGCUAAAGCAAGCUCUUUUUUUCACUUUCAAGUGAGCCAUUAGAUUUGUCAUCUUGAGCCACUAUGAAUCUGUGGGUUAUUAUGCCAUCCUGCAUCAAAACAUCUGGUCUCAUCCAAGAGUUUCAUUAAUUUUUCACACAAAAAUAAGGUGGAACCCUAAUUUUUCCAAACUGAAUUUUCUUUCACACACCAGGGG
Molecule: long non-coding RNA, 779 nt
Organism: Labeo rohita (rohu)
Lineage: Eukaryota; Metazoa; Chordata; Actinopteri; Cypriniformes; Cyprinidae
Exons: 3
Source: RefSeq, a predicted model, not a curated record